RNAcentral lists this small RNA (77 nucleotides) under Xanthomonas citri. RNAcentral describes it as "sX9 sRNA". It matches the Rfam family "Xanthomonas sRNA sX9". The record is from RNAcentral. RNAcentral also lists the same sequence under 3 other names. Lineage: Bacteria; Pseudomonadati; Pseudomonadota; Gammaproteobacteria; Lysobacterales; Lysobacteraceae.
AUGUACCACCCACACACUGCGGUUAUGAGCGCGCCGUCCGCAUCCACCUGACGGCUGCUCGCUACGUUUUGUUGGCC